AAAGGAGACAUCCAAAGGGAUCGCAUUGAUCCUGAACCUAAAUUUCUUCUCCAUCGUUUUUUCUGGGAUCAUGCUAUCCCUUUGGAUUCCUCCUU
Molecule: non-coding RNA, 95 nt
Organism: Jatropha curcas
Lineage: Eukaryota; Viridiplantae; Streptophyta; Magnoliopsida; Malpighiales; Euphorbiaceae
Source: Rfam